GUCAGCAGCGAUAGUACGUUGAAUACAUCAGUCCCCCCAUGAACCACUGAAGUUAAGCUACGUUGCGCGUUGGUUGGUAUCCGGAUGAGUGAGGAGCAUCUAGGCAAUCGCGUGCUGCUGGCA
This 123-nucleotide ribosomal RNA is filed under the name Diaphorina citri (Asian citrus psyllid). Lineage: Eukaryota; Metazoa; Arthropoda; Insecta; Hemiptera; Psyllidae. The record is from RNAcentral.